Molecule: ribosomal RNA, 708 nt
Filed under: uncultured bacterium
Lineage: Bacteria
Description: bacterial SSU rRNA
Rfam family: Bacterial small subunit ribosomal RNA
Source: RNAcentral
AGUCGGAACGAGAAUCACUGGAAGGAGUUUUCGGACAACGGAAGGUGAGGACAGUGGCGGACGGGUGAGUAACGCGUGAGGAACCUGCCUUUCAGAGGGGGACAACAGUUGGAAACGACUGCUAAUACCGCAUGACACAUAGAGAUCGCAUGGUUUUUAUGUCAAAGAUUUAUCGCUGAAAGAUGGCCUCGCGUCUGAUUAGCUAGUUGGUGAGGUAACGGCCCACCAAGGCGACGAUCAGUAGCCGGACUGAGAGGUUGACCGGCCACAUUGGGACUGAGAUACGGCCCAGACUCCUACGGGAGGCAGCAGUGGGGAAUAUUGGGCAAUGGGCGCAAGCCUGACCCAGCAACGCCGCGUGAAGGAAGAAGGCUUUCGGGUUGUAAACUUCUUUUGUCGGGGACGAGUAGAAGACGGUACCUGGCGAAUAAGCCACGGCUAACUACGUGCCAGCAGCCGCGGUAAUACGUAGGUGGCAAGCGUUGUCCGGAUUUACUGGGUGUAAAGGGCGUGUAGCCGGGAAGGCAAGUCAGAUGUGAAAUCCACGGGCUUAACUCGUGAACUGCAUUUGAAACUACUUUUCUUGAGUAUCGGAGAGGCAAUCGGAAUUCCUAGUGUAGCGGUGAAAUGCGUAGAUAUUAGGAGGAACACCAGUGGCGAAGGCGGAUUGCUGGACGACAACUGACGGUGAGGCGCGAAAGCGUGGGG